Long non-coding RNA from Fukomys damarensis (Damara mole-rat), 1180 nucleotides. RefSeq lists it as uncharacterized. The record is from RefSeq and is a predicted model, not a curated record. NCBI's taxonomy places the organism in Eukaryota, Metazoa, Chordata, Mammalia, Rodentia, Bathyergidae. The transcript is spliced from 3 exons.
UCCUCAGCCUCCUGAGAGCUGGAAUUACAGGCAUCUCAGGUCUGCUUCUGCAACUUGGCUCUUCUCCAGGAAGAGCACCCAGGAAAGCAGCAAUACAGCCCCUGCACUCCUGACAAGGCAUGAAAUGAAGAAACACAGGCUCAGUGAAAUUUAAUGACUGUCCAGAAGAGAUGUUGAGAGGUAAACCUGGUAACAAAACAAUGUCAGUAUGAUUUCAAAGUCCCUGUGUGAGAGACAGGAUCCAGUGGCUUCCAAGAUUUCCUGCCCCACUGUCUCCAUGUACAAGUCCUACAGUUGACACAAAGAAAGAGAGCAUUUGGGAGUAAGCCUGACCUAAUCACAUGACACCUCCCAAAGGCCCCCAGGUGGGAGCAGGUGGAGGGAACGAUGCCCUUCAGGGUUCCAGGCCCUGUGCAGAGCACAAAGACCUGGAGGAAAGAGGCGCAGCACCUGCCCUCUCCAAGCGGGGACAGUGUGCAGAGACACAAGCAGUGUUUACAGGGUGACCCCUGAAGCCCAACCAGAGGGAGCAUCAUUGGGAAACUUCAACCUUGGAAUGGGAAUUGCAGCUCAGUGGUUUGCCAGGCAGUGCAAGCAGGCGCUGGAGCAGUGCAGACAGAACACAGCUCAUGGGAAGGCAGGGGCUGUGAGGCCAGCAGCGCAGAUCUCCCUUGCUGAGACUUCACUACACUGGACGGUCUGUGAAUACAUCACCACUUCAGAACGGUGACUGUCAAGGCCGAGCCUCCCCUGAGGGUGUGGGGGAGUGGCUCCUUUAGUCCAUACAGUCUUUUGUGCCAUGAGUGAGUUAAUUUCCCAAUAAAGAAUAGGAUGCCGAGAUGAAAUCUGUGAAAGCAGCAGCAUCAAGCGCGCCAGAGCUCCAGAGCUCAAGAACUGCUUGCCUUUACUUCUUUUAUCUUCAUGUACUCAUUCUCAGAUAUAACAAGAUGUCAUCAUGAAACACCAGCUGCGUAUCCUUGUAUGACCUUAUUGCACAUGCAUGGUUGAGUAUGUUAAGUCACUCAUAUAAUGGUGGCCCAUUAUGUGCAGGUCCCUGACAGUGGGGUUGUGACCUUAAGUGUCCUCAGGUGCACCUACGUUUCCCAGGCUUUGAGUAUCUCUCCCUCUCCCUCCCUCCCUCUCUCUCUCUGUCCUCCUCCUUUUUCUUCUUCCUCUUCCU